AUUGAACGCUAGCGGGAUGCCUUACACAUGCAAGUCGAACGGAGUGGCGAACGGGUGAGUAAUGUAUCGGAACGUGCCCAGCAGCGGGGGAUAACUACGCGAAAGCGUAGCUAAUACCGCAUACUAUUUGCGUCGCCGAUAUCGGAUUAGCUAGUUGGUGGGGUAACGGCUAACCAAGGCGACGACCCGUAGCUGGUUUGAGAGGACGACCGGCCAAACGGGGACUGAGCCACGGCCCAGCCUCCUACGGGAGGAAGCAGUGGGGAAUUUUGGACAAGGGGGGAAACCCUGAUCCGGCCAUCCCGCGUGGGGGAUGAAGGCCUUCGGGUUGUAAAGCACUUUUGGCAGGAAAGCGGUACCUGCAGAAUAAGCACCGGCUAACUACGUGCCAGCAGCCGCGGUAAUUC
This 407-nucleotide ribosomal RNA is filed under the name uncultured bacterium. RNAcentral's name for it is "partial 16S ribosomal RNA". It matches the Rfam family "Bacterial small subunit ribosomal RNA", at positions 30 to 526 of the family's 1533-position model. The record is from RNAcentral.